RNAcentral lists this ribosomal RNA (497 nucleotides) under uncultured bacterium. RNAcentral describes it as "partial 16S ribosomal RNA". It matches the Rfam family "Bacterial small subunit ribosomal RNA", at positions 28 to 507 of the family's 1533-position model. The record is from RNAcentral.
GAUGAACGCUGGCGGCGUGCCUAAUACAUGCAAGUCGAGCGAACAGAUGAGGAGCUUGCUCCUCUGACGUUAGCGGCGGACGGGUGAGUAACACGUGGAUAACCUACCUAUUAGACUGGGAUAACUUCGGGAAACCGGAGCUAAUACCGGAUAAUAUAUUGAACCGCAUGGUUCAAUAGUGAAAGACGGUUUUGCUGUCACUUAUAGAUGGAUCCGCGCCGCAUUAGCUAGUUGGUAAGGUAACGGCUUACCAAGGCAACGAUGCGUAGCCGACCUGAGAGGGUGAUCGGCCACACUGGAACUGAGACACGGUCCAGACUCCUACGGGAGGCAGCAAUAGGGAAUCUUCCGCAAUGGGCGAAAGCCCGACGGAGCAACGCCGCGUGAGUGAUGAAGGUCUUCGGAUCGUAAAACUCUGUUAUUAGGGAAGAACAAAUGUGUAAGUAACUAUGCACGUCUUGACGGUACCUAAUCAGAAAGCCACGGCUAACUACGUG